RNAcentral lists this long non-coding RNA (1931 nucleotides) under Octopus vulgaris (common octopus). Lineage: Eukaryota; Metazoa; Mollusca; Cephalopoda; Octopoda; Octopodidae. The record is from RNAcentral.
UCUGGAUAUUUUUUGUAUUUCCAAAAUAUGUAAUAUUCUUUAGAAAUGGUUGGGAUUAUGACUUCUCUCUACAUUUACAGUAAAAAAUGGAUUUAGAAAACAAUUAUAUUUGAAAUAUCUUCACAUCACAGGUAAAGCUACGAGCUUUGAGUACUUUUUACCAGACUCUUGGAAUAGAUCUUGGAAUGGAACUAUAGAAUUAGUGAUGGAGACAGAAAGGAGGAUAUUACAAAAACUUGAAUAACUUAUGAAAUCUUUACAUAUCCACACACACACAUACAAUAUUAUAUCUGACAAUCUUCAUUGAAUGAAGACCAGUCUUCAGUGAAAUGCUCAAUACACACACACACACACACACACACACACACACACACACACACACACACACACAAGCAUAUACUGUACAUUGAAUGCCAUAUGUAAUUGGAAUAGUCUUUCUGAAAUCAAUAACAGGCCUAAAUAACUUCUAAUUUAAGCAUACUUAAUAGAACUGAAUCUCUUACCCACAGACAUUCUUACUUUACAAAAGAAGACUAUAAUAUAUACCUUUAAUAGAAAACCUUCCAAUUAGAUUAAUUAAUCCUCGAUAGUAGAUAUAUGUAGAAUGAGAAUGCAGAUGCUUGAAAAUAUAAUACCUAUGAUUAAAGAUCGAAGCCAUUUAUUAUUAUGGAUAAAUACUUGGAAAGCAGAUGUAAAGUGGUGAUAAUGAAAGUGACACAGACAUUAAAUGAAUUGAUUCUAUAGUAUUACUAUGAAGCAAGGUUCCAAGUUUGUUUUGGGGUUUUUUUUUUUUUCAGUUCACUGAUAAUGAUUACUACACCUCAAUUAUACAACCAAUAUAAAUUACUGCAGAUGAAUAAUCAAAACUAUUGCUGUUACAGGAUUUGAAAUUACACUUUGAUUAAUUUCUCUAUCAAUAAAGACAAGAAACCCUCUGCAACAUAUUCUAGUGUGAAUAUAAGAGAUAGUGACUUUGCUGGAGUUCCUACCUCUUUGGACUAUUCUUAUUACAUAGAAAGAAGGAUUUUUAUAAUUCAGGGUGUAUUAUAUAACACCAAUGGUCUCUUAGCACUCGUCAAAUGUAAUUUAUUAACUACUGAUAGAAUUAAGAACGAUCUUCACAUUUUCUUUUAAAGCUAAUGUUAACACAAUUGACUUCCUGGAUAUAACGUAUAAUCUAGUUGUUUCAAAUAAGCAUAUUGCGAACAUAAUUAGUCAUUAGAUUCUAUGAAUAAAUCAUAAUAGAUGGACCAACCAUCCUAGAAAUAUAGGUAAACGUAAAGAAUAUGUCAAGAUUCUCCAGCAUACAUGCUAAGGAAUAAAUUAUUAAUUUCUAUUCAACUUGUAGCAGUGAGCCCAUAGUAAAAAGUAGAUUUCAAGAUAAAAUAUCUUAAAUGCUAAUUUGUAAUGGUACAAGACACCCUUGAAAUAGAUAUAGGGAAAUUUGUUGAUAUAUUCCACUCAAUAAUUUGGUAAUAGCAGCAAUAGCAGCCAAGAUAUUGUUUUCAUAUUCGAUAAGCAUUUCCCCUUCAUCACAAUUACCAUAAAAUAUUCGAUAAAGACACAGUACACCUAUUCUACUACAAAAUAUAGCCUUUUUUAAAAUAACUAAAUUAAAUUAAAAUAGACCCCGCUUUACAGUAAUUACAUUGCACCAACUCUUAUAACCACCUUAUUAAUCUGAAUUGCUUAUCUAAAAGAAUAAUGUAUAAGUGCUCAGUCAAAUUAACUACUUCUCAUGAAGCUUACUUUAGCAUAACCAGAAAUAAUCCUGUGAGCACACUUUCUCUUCCUGGGAAAAAAAAUUUGAUUUGAUUACCUGGUAACUUACAAAGGAAUAAAAGAAGAAUAUUUCAACCUAACCAAAACUAAGAAUAUAAACUAAUAUACUCAAAAUACUCUAGGAGCACAUGAAAUUUUGUUUGGUAAGG